UACAGAGGGUGCGAGCGUUAAUCGGAAUUACUGGGCGUAAAGCGCACGUAGUCGGCUUGCCAAGUCGGGUGUGAAAUCCCCGGGCUCAACCUGGGAACUGCAUCCGAAACUGGCUUGCUAGAGUAUGGGAGAGGGAAGCGGAAUUUCUGGUGUAGCAGUGAAAUGCGUAGAUAUCAGAAGGAACAUCAGUGGCGAAGGCGGCUUCCUGGACCAAUACUGACGAUCAGGUGCGAAAGCGUGGGGAGCAAAC
RNAcentral lists this ribosomal RNA (250 nucleotides) under uncultured bacterium. RNAcentral's name for it is "partial 16S ribosomal RNA". It matches the Rfam family "Bacterial small subunit ribosomal RNA", at positions 524 to 773 of the family's 1533-position model. The record is from RNAcentral.